GGAGAGCUCAGAGCCAGAGCGAUUGAUAUCGCUCAACACAGCGUAAAGCUCCAGCUGUGUUGAUUAAGCGACUGAUGUCCCUCUGCGGCAGCUACUUAUUUUAACUGCAGUUGCAGCGUUGCGCCACUAUUGAGGCGCUAUAUCAACAGCGGUGCACCGGAAAGACCUGAAGCAACUACCGAAGAAGAAACAGAUCGACUCGUGUUUUUUCCAGUUUUUUCCCGCUAGUUGGUGCUAUUGGCGUCCUGAUUUUCCCUGGCGGAUGGUACAAACAGGUGAAGACACCUCUGCGCAACAGACUGAAGGAGAGGCACUUGGAUGUCUGUUGUAAGGUGGCCAUUGAUGGACCAGACCAGGAGGCCUUGGACUACAAGGAGUGCAUGAGGAGGUUCUACAGAAUGAAAAAGAGGAGGCUGAAAUGUUCUCUGUCUGGUUGCGAGAUGUGUGGAUAAAGUGUACUUUCAAUUUAAAGUUGGCACCUGAUUUGUGUAUGUAUAUAGUUUUAAUAAAUGAAUGC
Molecule: long non-coding RNA, 517 nt
Organism: Toxotes jaculatrix (banded archerfish)
Lineage: Eukaryota; Metazoa; Chordata; Actinopteri; Toxotidae
Exons: 3
Source: RefSeq, a predicted model, not a curated record